AAAAAUACUCCUUCUUGACAAAGUUGCAGUUUGUACCAGCCAUUAACGACCUUAGACUUUUACCUCCAAUAAACUCAACCAUAUUUGCAAAUUCACUCACCUUCCCUCUCCUCCCUUCUCCUCCAUAUAUAUCCUCGACCCACAUAUACAUACACCUCCACACGUGCACCAAUCAUUUACAGCUGCAUAUUCAACAAGAAUACCAGAGCGUCUCUGCUCGCCAUGGGUUGCUCUGCCUCCCUUCCAGAUAGGAGUUCUUCUGGGCGGUUGGUCGGGCCAAAUUCCGAAAACGGUGGCGCUUCUGAUGCCAAAAAUCUACGCGUGAA
Non-coding RNA from Prunus avium (sweet cherry), 326 nucleotides. The record is from RefSeq and is a predicted model, not a curated record. Lineage: Eukaryota; Viridiplantae; Streptophyta; Magnoliopsida; Rosales; Rosaceae.